This 83-nucleotide non-coding RNA is filed under the name Devosia lucknowensis. Its description in RNAcentral is "ZTP sequence". It matches the Rfam family "ZMP/ZTP riboswitch aptamer (pfl RNA motif)". Rfam says of the family: Previously known as pfl RNA. Lineage: Bacteria; Pseudomonadati; Pseudomonadota; Alphaproteobacteria; Hyphomicrobiales; Devosiaceae. The record is from Rfam by way of RNAcentral.
GCGCGUUCGCGCAACUGGCGAGAUGAGAUGGGCAACCAUCGGGGAACGCGAACCUCAUAGCGCCGCUCGCCUGGGCACCCAAC